Molecule: ribosomal RNA, 501 nt
Filed under: uncultured bacterium
Lineage: Bacteria
Description: partial 16S ribosomal RNA
Rfam family: Bacterial small subunit ribosomal RNA
Source: RNAcentral
AUUGAACGCUGGCGGCAGGCUUAACACAUGCAAGUCGAGCGGGGGAAGGUAGCCUGCUACCGGACCUAGCGGCGGACGGGUGAGUAAUGCUUAGGAAUCUGCCUAUUAGUGGGGGACAACAUCUCGAAAGGGAUGCUAAUACCGCAUACGUCCUACGGGAGAAAGCAGGGGAUCUUCGGACCUUGCGCUAAUAGAUGAGCCUAAGUCGGAUUAGCUAGUUGGUGGGGUAAAGGCCUACCAAGGCGACGAUCUGUAGCGGGUCUGAGAGGAUGUUCCGCCACACUGGGACUGAGACACGGCCCAGACUCCUACGGGAGGCAGCAGUGGGGAAUAUUGGACAAUGGGGGGAACCCUGAUCCAGCCAUGCCGCGUGUGUGAAGAAGGCCUUAUGGUUGUAAAGCACUUUAAGCGAGGAGGAGGCUACUUUAGUUAAUACCUAGAGAUAGUGGACGUUACUCGCAGAAUAAGCACCGGCUAACUCUGUGCCAGCCGCCGCAGUAA